ACACAUGCAAGUCGAGCGGUAACAGGUCCAGCUUGCUGGACGCUGACGAGCGGCGGACGGGUGAGUAAUGCAUAGGAAUCUACCCAGUUCGUGGGGGAUAACCUGGGGAAACCCAGGCUAAUACCGCAUACGUCCUACGGGAGAAAGCGGGGGCUCUUCGGACCUCGCGCGAUUGGAUGAGCCUAUGUCGGAUUAGCUGGUUGGUGGGGUAACGGCUCACCAAGGCGACGAUCCGUAGCUGGUCUGAGAGGAUGAUCAGCCACACUGGGUUUGAGCCCCGGCCCAGAUUCCUUCGGGAGGCAGCAGUGGGGAAUUUUUGGCAAUGGGGGAAAGCCUUAUCCCGCCAUUCCGCUUGUUUGAAGAAGGCUUUCGGGUUGUAAAGCAUUUUCAGUGGGGAAGAAGGCUUGUUGGCCAAUACCCGGCAAGAGGGACUUCACCCACAGAAGAAGCCCCGGCUAACUCCGUGCCAGCAGCCGCGGUAAUACGGAGGGUGCAAGCGUUAAUUGGAAUUACUGGGCGUAAAGCGCGCGUAGGGGGCUUGUCACGCCGGGUGUGAAAGCCCCGGGCUCAACCUGGGAACGGCAUCCGGAACGGGCAGGCUAGAGUGCAGGAGAGGAAGGUAGAAUUCCCGGUGUAGCGGUGAAAUGCGUAGAGAUCGGGAGGAAUACCAGUGGCGAAGGCGGCCUUCUGGACUGACACUGACGCUGAGGUGCGAAAGCGUGGGUAGCAAACAGGAUUAGAUACCCUGGUAGUCCACGCCGUAAACGAUGUCGACUAGCCGUUGGGUCCCUUGAGGACUUAGUGGCGCAGUUAACGCGAUAAGUCGACCGCCUGGGGAGUACGGCCGCAAGGUUAAAACUCAAAUGAAUUGACGGGGGCCCGCACAAGCGGUGGAGCAUGUGGUUUAAUUCGAUGCAACGCGAAGAACCUUACCUACCCUUGACAUCCUGCGAACCCGGAAGAGAUUCCGGGGUGCCUUCGGGAGCGCAGAGACAGGUGCUGCAUGGCUUUCGUCAGCUCGUGUUGUGAAAUGUUGGGUUAAGUCCCGUAACGAGCGCAACCCUUGUCCCUAUUUGCCAGCGAUUCGGUCGGGAACUCUAGGGAGACUGCCGGUGACAAACCGGAGGAAGGUGGGGACGACGUCCAGUCAUCAUGGCCCUUACGGGUAGGGCUACACACGUGCUACAAUGGCCGGUACAAAGGGUUGCGAAGCCGCGAGGUGAAGCCAAUCCCAGAAAAGCCGGCCUCAGUCCGGAUUGGAGUCUGCAACUCGACUCCAUGAAGUCGGAAUCGCUAGUAAUCGUGCAUCAGAAUGGCACGGUGAAUACGUUCCCGGGCCUUGUACACACCGCCCGUCACACCAUGGGAUAGGACUGCACCAGAAGUGGUUAGCCUAACUUCGGAGGGCG
RNAcentral lists this ribosomal RNA (1409 nucleotides) under halophilic bacterium BKL5. Its description in RNAcentral is "16S ribosomal RNA". It matches the Rfam family "Bacterial small subunit ribosomal RNA". The record is from RNAcentral.